UGGGGAAUAUUGGACAAUGGGCGAAAGCCUGAUCCAGCCAUGCCGCGUGUGUGAAGAAGGUCUUCGGAUUGUAAAGCACUUUAAGUUGGGAGGAAGGGCAGUUACCUAAUACGUGAUUGUUUUGACGUUACCGACAGAAUAAGCACCGGCUAACUCUGUGCCAGCAGCCGCGGUAAUACAGAGGGUGCAAGCGUUAAUCGGAAUUACUGGGCGUAAAGCGCGCGUAGGUGGUUUGUUAAGUUGGAUGUGAAAUCCCCGGGCUCAACCUGGGAACUGCAUUCAAAACUGACUGACUAGAGUAUGGUAGAGGGUGGUGGAAUUUCCUGUGUAGCGGUGAAAUGCGUAGAUAUAGGAAGGAACACCAGUGGCGAAGGCGACCACCUGGACUGAUACUGACACUGAGGUGCGAAAGCGUGGGGAGCAAACAGGAUUAGAUACCCAGGUAGUCCCUGAGCGGGCUGGCAAGGCGCAU
Molecule: ribosomal RNA, 472 nt
Filed under: uncultured bacterium
Lineage: Bacteria
Description: bacterial SSU rRNA
Rfam family: Bacterial small subunit ribosomal RNA
Source: RNAcentral